Callithrix jacchus (white-tufted-ear marmoset) is the source of this 1087-nucleotide non-coding RNA. The record is from RefSeq and is a predicted model, not a curated record. NCBI's taxonomy places the organism in Eukaryota, Metazoa, Chordata, Mammalia, Primates, Cebidae.
AUCCGGGAGCUAGUCCCUCGCUACCUCAGCUCGGCGCCGCCCGAUCCCCGCCUGGCAGCUGGCGCGCGCGGCCGUCCCUCGCUCCGCCCCUCGCGGGGUUCGCUGGGAAUUGUAGUCCGUGGCCGCCUCCUCUGGGGCCAGUAGGCCAAGUAGGCUCUGAUGAGGUGACCCCAAAACUAAGUCAAGCAGUGGGAAUCCAGAGAUGGUUGGAGGAAGUGCGGCUUUUGGGAUGCUGUAAAUACCUCAUGAUUGAGACUGGUUCCCAUGGCGGGGGAGGCUCAGCUCCCCCCCCACCCCCCCGCUAGGAUGGUGUUCUUAGAGGCUCUUGGUCCCUCACUCACCCAAGAAUGGGAGAGAGGACCCUGCCAGAUGCGGUGCAGUGCAGAGCCUCUCCUAUCCUAACUAAGGGCAAGGACAGAAUCUCUAACCUUGAAAAUGGCAGAAGAUUAGAGACCCUAAAGAGACCUGAGGUUGAAAUGAAUGGGAUUUGGAGUGUAUGAACUUCAUGACCAGGGACCACAGAGAAAGCACAGACUCAGCAGUAAUACCAGCCUCAUGAUGGCAAUGAAAAGUCUAGCUGUGACCCUCUUCUGAUCGCAGCAUAAUAUGAAUCCUGCCCCAAAUCUGAAGUGCUGUAGAGAGGAUCCUAGCCAACAACCUUCAAGUCAAAGAGUAAAGUGAAUAAAAUAUGCUCAGCUGGAAAAUACAGCUGUUUGGAUUUGGGAGCAUUAAGCAAGAGAGGUGAAAAGCAAAGACAAUACUGGAAGCGAAUGGCUGACUACUGAGACAAGAAUUCAAGAGAACUCUGAUUGGAUUCCACACACAAGUAUUUGUCUUUCUCUGACUGGAUUAUUCUACUUAGCGUCAUGCCAUCCCGGUUAUCCAUGCUGUUGUCACGAUUGAUUGAAGAAUUUUCUUUAGCAUUUAUUUUAAAGCAUGCCUGGUGAUGAUGAACUCCCAUAGCUUUGCUUCGUCUGGAAAAUCUUUGUCUCCAUUUUCGAAGAUUAGCUUUCCUAGAAUGACUUCCACCAAGAUGGCCGAAUAGGAACAGCUCUGGAGUGCAGUUCUCAGCGAGAGCAACAGAAGG